GACGAACGCUGGCGGCGUGCUUAACACAUGCAAGUCGAACGGAAAGGCCCUGCUUUUGUGGGGUGCUCGAGUGGCGAACGGGUGAGUAACACGUGAGUAACCUGCCCUUGACUUUGGGAUAACUUCAGGAAACUGGGGCGAAUACCGGAUAGGAGCUCCUGCUGCAUGGUGGGGGUUGGAAAGUUUCGGCGGUUGGGGAUGGACUCGCGGCUUAUCAGCUUGUUGGUGGGGUAGUGGCUUACCAAGGCUUUGACGGGUAGCCGGCCUGAGAGGGUGACCGGCCACAUUGGGACUGAGAUACGGCCCAGACUCCUACGGGAGGCAGCAGUGGGGAAUAUUGCACAAUGGGCGGAAGCCUGAUGCAGCAACGCCGCGUGCGGGAUGACGGCCUUCGGGUUGUAAACCGCUUUCGCCUGUGACGAAGCGUGAGUGACGGUAAUGAGUAAAGAAGCACCGGCUAACUACGUG
This 468-nucleotide ribosomal RNA is filed under the name uncultured bacterium. RNAcentral describes it as "partial 16S ribosomal RNA". It matches the Rfam family "Bacterial small subunit ribosomal RNA", at positions 28 to 507 of the family's 1533-position model. The record is from RNAcentral.